GUUUCUUAACCACUGAGUAAUAUGGUUGCCUGAUGCAAAGUGAUGUAUAUACAGAAAAAAAUUUAAAAAUUAGCUAUAAAAUGAACAUAGUCAUGGCUGGGCGCGGUGGCUCACGCCUGUAAUCCCAGCACUUUGGAAGGCCGAGGCAGGUCGAUCACCUGAGGUCAGUUCAAGACCAGCCUGGCCAACAUGGUGAAACCCAUCUCUACUGAAAAAAAAAAGAAUUAGCCAGGCAAGGUGGUGUACGCUUGUAAUCCCAGCUACUCAGGAGGCUGAGGCAGGAGAAUCGCUUGAACCUGGGAGGCAGAGGUUGCUGUGAGCUGAGAUUAUGCAACUGUACUCCAGCCUGGGUGACAGAGUGAGACUCCAUCUCAAAAAAAGGAAAAGGAACAUAGUCAUGUCCUCUGUUCCUAGAGUUGUUUUGUGAAACACAAAUGGCUUGAUUGAUAUGUGUAGAGCACUGUGUGUAAGAGAAAGGCCUGGCCCCACGGUAAGCUUCUACAUUGUGAUUCUGUUUUUUGCAGAUGACUCAACCAGCAUCCACAAGUGAGGAUAACAGGCAUUGGUUACCUUCAAAUUUAAGAGAAGUUCAUCUCAGUCAGGAUUCAGAACAGAACUCCAGCCGCCCCGGGACCAUCAAGCAACCAGGCGUAGGUGCUCACUGAGACCACUGUCUUCACUGUUUUCCUGCAUUUUCUGCGAAUCACCGGUGAGUUCUCUCUCACAUUAUGAAGCUUCACAAAUGUGUGUUUUGAGCUAUCUGAGUGUUUUUGAGCAUUUUAAAAAAAAAUCUAAGCUGGGUUUAAAGUCUCCACAAAAACUGAACUGGGUUCAGUAGGUAAGGUUACUCUAUCCAAUAAGGAAUUCCUUUCCACCUUCUGAAACUCCACCGAGGGUUAGUUUGUGCUCUGAAAAGGCAUAUGUGUCCUUCUUGGGGUGGCUGGCUUGUGUUAAAUAGAAACUGGAAUGGGUCUAGGGUGUGGAACUCCUACAUUUGAAAUCCCAGCCAAGUUCAUGCAUAAGAAUCCCCAGAAAAACCCCAGAAUUAUACUUUUUUUUUUUUUUUUUAGAGGAAUGGACAAACCUUGCCAAAGGUAAUUUGGAAUUAUAGUGGCCACAAUUAGAAAGUUUUAAUUUGGGUAAAAUUAUUUGUAAAAUUAUUUGUAGGAUAUAUUAGAAAAGGAACAAUCAAAAGCCCCACAGAAGCC
RNAcentral lists this long non-coding RNA (1208 nucleotides) under Papio anubis (olive baboon). RNAcentral describes it as "lncRNA (ENSPANG00000044827.1)". The record is from RNAcentral. Lineage: Eukaryota; Metazoa; Chordata; Mammalia; Primates; Cercopithecidae.